RNAcentral lists this ribosomal RNA (448 nucleotides) under uncultured bacterium. Its description in RNAcentral is "bacterial SSU rRNA". It matches the Rfam family "Bacterial small subunit ribosomal RNA", at positions 329 to 794 of the family's 1533-position model. The record is from RNAcentral.
AGCCAGACUCCUACGGGAGGCAGCAGUGGGGAAUAUUGCACAAUGGGGGAAACCCUGAUGCAGCGACGCCGCGUGAGUGAAGAAGUAUUUCGGUAUGUAAAGCUCUAUCAGCAGGGAAGAAAAUGACGGUACCUGACUAAGAAGCCCCGGCUAACUACGUGCCAGCAGCCGCGGUAAUACGUAGGGGGCAAGCGUUAUCCGGAUUUACUGGGUGUAAAGGGAGCGUAGACGGCAUGGCAAGUCAGAUGUGAAAGCCCGGGGCUCAACCCCGGGACUGCAUUUGAAACUGUCAGGCUGGAGUGCAGGAGAGGUAAGUGGAAUUCCUAGUGUAGCGGUGAAAUGCGUAGAUAUUAGGAGGAACACCAGUGGCGAAGGCGGCUUACUGGACUGUAACUGACGUUGAGGCUCGAAAGCGUGGGGAGCAAACAGGAUUAGAUACCCCGGUAAU